GAUCAAACCCAUACCACAGCAGUGCCCGAAGCUGCUGCAGUGAUCACGCCAGACCCUUAACCCCCUGUGCCACAAGGGAACUCCUCCACUCUAGUUUCUUAAGAUCUUUACUUCUGAGCAUUCGGCGUGUCGUCUCUGUGAGGAGGAGCAGAGGACAGAGCACAGGCUUCUGUGUCUGGCUGCCCAAGCUUAAUGGCAGCCUCCCCACUCACUAGCUGUGUCGCCUUGGGUAAGUUACUUAACCACUCUGGGCCCAUUUUCUGUAAAAGAACAGGAGCACCUUCAGUCUAUAGUUCUGAGGAUUAUAUGGGGUAACUCAUGUAAGGAGUUAACUGUAGCAUCUGGCACCUUAGUAAAUAGUCAAUAAAUAUGAAUUUUAAUUUGGCAUCAACAAAUCCCCUUUAUGCAGCCUCAGGGAGCGCAGGACACAACACAUGGGUGGUUUUCCACCGCCACUGAGAGAGGAGGCCAUGGCAGCUCCGCUCUCGCCUCUGCUCACACGCCUGUGCAAAGGUGAGGACGCAGAGAACACACACUCUUCCAGCGGAAGAAGAACAACGUGGACCCCCACUGGCCUCCGAGGAGCCGUACGUGGGUCGGUGCUGAGCAUGAUUACACACCAACCUUCCAGCUUCCAAGCUGAGCAGGUGCCUCACCCUCAAGCGCUCGGCUUCACAUCCCAGUGGGCAAAGCUUCUACAGCGAGGUCUUCUACCUGCCUUGGGAAUUGAGUUCCAACGCCCCCUCUGCCGGCAGCUCCCUCAGGCACUUGUACCCUCACCCAUCACCCCCUCCCCUACUGCAAGGGUGCCAUCUGCUCACCCAGUCCCCCAAUCCCGGGUGGCUCCCUACCCUCAACUUUCUUGCUGCUGCUUCUUGCCACCAUCAGCCACAAGAGGAAGCCAGAAAAACACCGCUGGACUUCAGAGGAUGUGCUAUGCGAGACUAUAAGCUCAGGUCACUGCUCUGGGACACAGCCAACAAGAACUAUGCUAAACACACAGCGAAGACACACUGUAACUAAGAGGAGAGGAGCUGACUUGAGUGUGGUUUGCCUGGAGUGCAGGCAGCACCCAGUGGGUGGGGGGCCCCCAGUUACCCAGGCUAAAGGGUCAAACAUUGCAGAAAGCGUCAGAAGACACUCUGGACCAUGUAGUAAGCUAUUCACAGAAUGUUAGGGGAGAAGCUCCCUCUUUCUGAACAUAAUCCUCGAAUACAUUUUCAUUCUCUACCCAGAAAAUGUAUUAACCUAUAGGAUUCUGCACAGGAACAAACGGGCCUUGCCUGAACUUCCACUUUCAACAUUUUGCCAUUCUCUCCACUAGCUGAUGGCAGUCCAGGCUGUCGGUCUCACACACUCAAAGCAUCAGUGUGGCAGCGGAAUAUGGGACCCUCAAAUGUCCAUGUCCCAGUCCCAGAAACCUGGGAACAUGGUACCCUGCCUGGCAAAAUGGGCUCUGCAGAGGGGAAUGAACAGGCAGAUCCCGAAGUGGGGAGAUCAUCCUGAGAUAUUUGGGUGGGUCCUACAAACCAUCACAAGAGUCCUUGUGACAGGAGAGGAGGUUCAGCAUCAGAAAAUGCAGUCGGGAGCUGCAGGCAGCCUCCAGAAGCUGGAAAAAGGAAAAUGCCAGGAAAGGAUUUUCCCCUUGGGUUUCCAGAAGGAAUACCCCUCUGCGGACCUAUUUUAAAUGAUCUUUUCUGAUCUCCAGAAAGGUCAGAAUAGAUCUAUGUCACUUUAAGCUGCUAGGUGUGUGAUCAUUUGUUACCGCUGCUCCAGGAAAUGAAUACCCUCAAACUCAGCUACGCACAGCACUCUGAUCUGUACAAAGCAAAAUGUAACACACGAUAGAUGUCAAAUAGCAUAUAAUAUCAAGCAGCUCCUAAUCAUUCGCAUUACACAUAAAAGAAAUACAAGCAAUCAUAGUGAGGUUAAGAUUUCAACUCUCCAGUAUGAGCUUUUAGGAUAUUUUAAAAAUUGUCUGAGAGCUCCCAUUGUGGCUCAGCAGGUUAAGAACCACUGUGCAGCCAUAAAAAGAAAAGAAAAUGUGUCUGAUUUCAGCAUCCACUGGUUUACAUCCUAUCAUUUUUCUGCUUGUUCCUUCUACUUUGUUUUUCUUUCUUUAUACCACUCCCCUUCUGUUCCCAAGGUCAAAGUCUGUGGUCUAAAGUGAUCUCUUUUUCUUGUCUUAGAGUCAUGUCCUGUGCAGAGAAAGCUCUGCUGUGGUUUUCGGCUCCCAGAAACCCCACGGGGCUACUUAGUUAGGCAGCUAUGGAAUCUGCUUUAUUCUGAGGGUGGAGUCCUGUUUUAAGGGUGGGAACGCAGUUCUUACAGGGCUGUUCUGUGAGCCAGCGGCCGGCCCUGCCUUCUCCCAA
This 2372-nucleotide long non-coding RNA is filed under the name Sus scrofa (pig). RNAcentral describes it as "lncRNA (ENSSSCG00015047171.1)". Lineage: Eukaryota; Metazoa; Chordata; Mammalia; Artiodactyla; Suidae. The record is from RNAcentral.